RNAcentral lists this ribosomal RNA (750 nucleotides) under Conotelus mexicanus. RNAcentral's name for it is "LSU rRNA". It matches the Rfam family "Eukaryotic large subunit ribosomal RNA", at positions 132 to 656 of the family's 3401-position model. Lineage: Eukaryota; Metazoa; Arthropoda; Insecta; Coleoptera; Nitidulidae. The record is from RNAcentral.
GACGCCGGGAAAUGUGGUGUUAGGGAGGAUCCAUUAUACCGGGGCAUCGCGACGCGUCCAAGUCCUUCUUGAACGGGGCCAUUUACCCAGAGAGGGUGCCAGGCCCGUAGCGACCUUCGCGCGUUCCGGUAGGAUCUCUCCUCAGAGUCGGGUUGCUUGAGAGUGCAGCCCUAAGCGGGUGGUAAACUCCAUCUAAGGCUAAAUAUGACCACGAGACCGAUAGCGAACAAGUACCGUGAGGGAAAGUUGAAAAGCACUUUGAAGAGAGAGUUCAAGAGUACGUGAAACCGUUCAGGGGUAAACCUGAGAAACCCGAAAGGUCGACGGGGAAAUUCAUGCGCGUUUCCGCUUUCGAUGCGGGAUGGUCGUGCGACGAUCGGUUUUCGGAUCGAGCGCGCCUUCCGUCCCGCAGCCGUUCGGAUCGGAACGCGUGCACUUUUCCUCUGUCGGACGUCGCGAUCCGUUGGGUGCCGGUCUAAGGCCCGCGGCGGAGCCCAGCCGGUCGUCCUCGUGGCGAUCGGCAGGACCCGCGGUGUUUUACCCGACCGGCCCGCUCGACGGUAUGCAUGUGGCGCGGAGCGCGAUCAUUCGCGUUCGGCCCGCGGCAAGCGCGGGCGACGCGUCGACAAUCGGACCCGGUGCCGAUUUCGACCCCGCUCGACUGUUGGCCGCGGCGUUCUCGAACAGUCUCCGAUUAUUAAACGCCGAUCGGCGACGCUAUAGCUUUGGGUACUUUCAGGACCCGUCUUG